UACGUAGGCAGCGAGCGUUGUUCGGAAUUACUGGGCGUAAAGAGUGUGUAGGCGGUGCUCUAAGUUCGGUGUGAAAUCUCCUGCUUAACUGGGAGGGUGCGCCGGAAACUGGAGUGCUCGAACGUGGGAGAGGAAAGCGGAAUUCCUGGUGUAGCGGUGAAAUGCGUAGAUAUCAGGAGGAACACCUGCGGUGUAGACGGCUUUCUGGACCAUUGUUGACGCUGAGACACGAAAGCGUGGGUAGCAAACAGG
Molecule: ribosomal RNA, 252 nt
Filed under: uncultured bacterium
Lineage: Bacteria
Description: partial 16S ribosomal RNA
Rfam family: Bacterial small subunit ribosomal RNA
Source: RNAcentral